CCUACGGGUGGCUGCAGUGGGGAAUAUUGGACAAUGGGCGAAAGCCUGAUCCAGCCAUGCCGCGUGUGUGAAGAAGGCCUUCGGGUUGUAAAGCACUUUCAGUGGGGAAGAAAGCCUUGGGGCUAAUACCCUCGAGGAAGGACAUCACCCACAGAAGAAGCACUGGCUAACUCCGUGCCAGCAGCCGCGGUAAUACGGAGGGUGCGAGCGUUAAUCGGAAUUACUGGGCGUAAAGCGCGCGUAGGCGGUCUGAUAAGCCGGUUGUGAAAGCCCCGGGCUCAACCUGGGAACGGCAUCCGGAACUGUCAGGCUAGAGUGCAGGAGAGGAAGGUAGAAUUCCCGGUGUAGCGGUGAAAUGCGUAGAGAUCGGGAGGAAUACCAGUGGCGAAGGCGGCCUUCUGGACUGACACUGACGCUGAGGUGCGAAAGCGUGGGUAGCAAACAGGAUUAGAUACCCUAGUAGUC
Molecule: ribosomal RNA, 465 nt
Filed under: Vreelandella stevensii
Lineage: Bacteria; Pseudomonadati; Pseudomonadota; Gammaproteobacteria; Oceanospirillales; Halomonadaceae
Description: partial 16S ribosomal RNA
Rfam family: Bacterial small subunit ribosomal RNA
Source: RNAcentral